Molecule: ribosomal RNA, 427 nt
Filed under: uncultured bacterium
Lineage: Bacteria
Description: partial 16S ribosomal RNA
Rfam family: Bacterial small subunit ribosomal RNA
Source: RNAcentral
GUGGGGAAUAUUGGGCAAUGGGGGCAACCCUGACCCAGCGACGCCGCGUGAGGGAAGAAGGCCUUAGGGUCGUAAACCUCUGUUGUGUGGGAAGAAGGAAGUGACGGUACCACACGAGGAAGUCCCGGCUAACUACGUGCCAGCAGCCGCGGUAAUACGUAGGGGACGAGCGUUGUCCGGAAUUACUGGGCGUAAAGGGCGCGUAGGCGGUCAUUUAAGUCAGCUGUGAAAUGGUCCGGCUCAACCGGAUCAUGCGGUUGAAACUGGAUGACUGGAGUGCUGGAGAGGCAAGUGGAAUUCCCAGUGUAGCGGUGAAAUGCGUAGAUAUUGGGAAGAACACCGGUGGCGAAGGCGACUUGCUGGCCAGCAACUGACGCUGAGGCGCGAAAGCCAGGGGAGCAAACGGGAUUAGAAACCCGUGUAGUCC